Anguilla rostrata (American eel) is the source of this 843-nucleotide long non-coding RNA. RefSeq lists it as uncharacterized. The record is from RefSeq and is a predicted model, not a curated record. The transcript is spliced from 4 exons. Lineage: Eukaryota; Metazoa; Chordata; Actinopteri; Anguilliformes; Anguillidae.
UAGUGGAGUGAAUCAGCUGCCGCAAACACUGGUGUUGGUAACGGGAAGCUGCAGCAGUCCUGUGUUCUCUGUCUGUUGGGUUCUAAACGUCAGCGCCUCCGCGAAGAGACCAGAUACCAAGAUAUGGCUGGACAGCAAUGAACUUACACCCAUAGGAAGUAAAGGCAAAAUGGUGUCGUUGAUGGUAACGACACUGGAUGUACACACAUUACGCGCGGACUAUGAAGGAAUCUCCCAUGUGUGGAACUUUUCAGUUGUUUCCAAUUCCAUCAGUGUGAGCAGCAGUGCGCACAGAACUGCGUAUCUCCCCCCCAGCGGAAGUGGGGUGAGUGUUACUGAUGUUUCAAUCUAGCUGAUGACUGUUGUCAUGGUCAAUAAUAGAAACUGCUAGACAUAUGUUUUCCAAAAUAUGGUCCAUUGCCUCGGUCUUGUGACAGAUUAAUGGCGCUCUUAAAUUAUGCUGCAGGCCACUUAAUUUGAACAACUACUUCUGUAAAGAUGGGAACUGGACUUGUAACCCAAAGGUUACUGGUUCAAUUCCCAGGUAGGGUGCUGCUGUUAUACUCUUGAGCAAGGUGCUUGAUGUGAAUAUAUAUAUAUAUAUAUAUAUAGUAUUCAGCUGAAAAAAUGGAUACAAUGUAUAAAUAGUUCAAGUUGUGUAAGUUGCUCUGGAUAAGAGCAUCUGCUAAAUUCUAGUGAUGCAACGUGUGUAAAUAUGCAUUCAAAAAGCUGCUGCUGUUAUCGUGACAGUCAAAUUGUGCUGAAAAAUGUAUGCUGAUUUUUAAAAGCAUUUUGCUGUGAAUAAAUAUGCUGUAGAGCAGUGCUGCUCAAACUUGGCCCUCA